GCACUUCCAAAGUACAUAUACUAAAAUUGGAAUGAUACAGAAGAUUAGCAUGGCCCCUGCAGUUGAAGUAUGAAUGCUUUCUAAACUGAUGCCUCUACUU
Molecule: small nuclear RNA, 100 nt
Organism: Dermacentor silvarum
Lineage: Eukaryota; Metazoa; Arthropoda; Arachnida; Ixodida; Ixodidae
Source: RefSeq, a predicted model, not a curated record